Molecule: ribosomal RNA, 497 nt
Filed under: uncultured bacterium
Lineage: Bacteria
Description: partial 16S ribosomal RNA
Rfam family: Bacterial small subunit ribosomal RNA
Source: RNAcentral
GAUGAACGCUGGCGGCGUGCCUAAUACAUGCAAGUCGAGCGAACAGACGAGGAGCUUGCUCCUCUGACGUUAGCGGCGGACGGGUGAGUAACACGUGGAUAACCUACCUAUAAGACUGGGAUAACUUCGGGAAACCGGAGCUAAUACCGGAUAAUAUAUUGAACCGCAUGGUUCAAUAGUGAAAGACGGUUUUGCUGUCACUUAUAGAUGGAUCCGCGCCGCAUUAGCUAGUUGGUAAGGUAACGGCUUACCAAGGCAACGAUGCGUAGCCGACCUGAGAGGGUGAUCAGCCACACUGGAACUGAGACACGGUCCAGACUCCUACGGGAGGCAGCAGUCGGGAAUCUUCGGAAAUGGGCGAAAGCUUGACGGAGCAACGCCGCGUGAGUGAUGAAGGUCUUCGGAUCGUAAAACUCUGUUGUUAGGGAAGAACAAAUGUGUAAGUAACUAUGCACGUCUUGACGGUACCUAAUCAGAAAGCCACGGCUAACUACGUG